UCCUUGUGGCGACUGACGGCGUGAACAACAAACCCACACAGCUGCUUCUCCAACACCUCCACCACGGCCGGAGCGUUCCCCUUCUUCCCCUGGCCCUCCAUCGCCUGCUGGAUGCAGCCCUGAGGCACCGGCUGUGGUUUGGUGCUGUACGACACCACCAGGUUGAUGUUGUUCACCUGCAGCACCUCGAACCAGUUCUUCCCCGCCACGUGGUGGAAAUGCUCCCCUGCUCUCCAGUUCCGGAGGUGUUUGGCAUCUAGUUGCGCUUGCUCUGGGAAAGCAGCGAUGCACAACUCGAUGGUGGUCUUCAUCCUGGACUCUACUUCUUCAAUUUUGCUGCUCCACUCUUGGAUUUUGUCAUCUUCUUCAUCUUGGCGCUGGGUUAAGGCACAGUGGCCCAGUAGAGCAAUCAGGCCCAGACAGAAGAGCUCCUUCAUCCGGACACAGAAAUCUUCCAGGAGACGACGGUUCCUCGUUACAUACCUGGAAAACAAAAUAACUAUUUACAUGUAUGUCAUAUAGUGCAACAACCAGAGAAGCAUGCAGUGUUGUUGACAAAGACAUAGGAGAACCAAAGAACUGCAAUUAAUCAAAAACAGAAUCAAAUAUAACAACGUACCUUUCCACUAACUCUAAAACGGACUCUCCAAAGCUGUUUGUCCCCAUCAGAGCGUCAUACAGCACAAACAGGUUCUUCUCUCCUCCGGUUUUGGCAAAGUGCUCCACAAAAAGUCUGGUCUUCACUUCCCUGAACUGCGGUUUUGCCUCCAAGAUGUCCAUAUACUUCCGAAACUGGUUCCUAAUGUUCUCCUCCACAGAGAAGUACUGGGAAUCCAGUCUCCCCUUCUUGAUCUCGCAGUCAAUGUCUUCCAGUUGUGUGGAGAGCACGUCAAGCUUGUUCCUCACCGCCAGGAACUGCUCCUUGACGUAGAAGACCUCUUUGCUGAGGACAUUGUCUAAGGCCAGGCGGAGGACGGGAGCGGCGGCCUCACAGAGCGGGAAGAGCUCGCCCACAGCGCUGGCCAACACCUCGGACCCCUUCUCAAACAUGUCCAUCGCCGCCUCGAUGGCCUCCUUCUUCUGGGCCACAGCCCUCUCAAGUGGACUGCUCAUGGUCUGAGACACAUAGGAAUAACACCUGGUGUCAAACAUAGAAGAAGGAUGUGAUACAAUUGGAGUCUUAUUCUGUUUAUUCAUGAAAAAAUACAGUUUUUUGUGAGCAGUUGAAUGCAAGAAGUGUUUCCCUGUAAAAACCUCAGAUUGUUUUUUUAUCUAUUAACUGCUACGGUAGCUGUACCUCUUCUAGCCUCUAUUUCACCAAAAAGAAAGCAAAGUUCAAAUAUGAGGGCCAAAUAAACAACACUAUAAUUGUGUAACAGAGCAACUUACUAAAAGUAAAUGCCAAAUAAAAGAGAAGUUAAAUGAUUUUCAAAGACUCUUGAUCUCAUUUUUCUCUGGAGAUAAUUUCCCAUAAAGCAAACAGUAUGAAGAAGCUUUCCUCUUUAUUACAGAAGUUAUAAAAUACAUUGGUGAACAGUUAUUCCAUUAUUUCAGAGCUGAAAUACUUAGUCAAUUUGUCAACAGACGCUUGCUGCUCCUCUAAUGAGAGGAUUUGCUGUUUUUCUUUGUCUCAUGUGAUGAUCUUUGACUAUUUUUGGACAUUUCAUACAAUUCAAACAAUUGGCAAAUAAUAAUAAAAUAGACAUUAACGCAG
Molecule: long non-coding RNA, 1714 nt
Organism: Gymnodraco acuticeps
Lineage: Eukaryota; Metazoa; Chordata; Actinopteri; Perciformes; Bathydraconidae
Exons: 2
Source: RefSeq, a predicted model, not a curated record